GAGUUUCCUACCUCCUCCUACCCUCUCCUAACCUACCCUACCCCAAGCCAGCGGAAAUCGUUGUUUGACGGAAGAUCCACGGAAAAUUUGCCCAGUGUAUUAGCCCCUUAACAGUGAGAUGGAUUGCCAUGCGCAGGUCAUCGCUAGAUUUGUAAACAAUGGAGGUUGCCACAAGGCUCAAGUUAGAGUCAAUGGACUGUAGUCUAACAAUAGUAAAAAGAAACACACAAGAUAGUCUAGUAUUUUUUGUUUUCUUUCUUCUGCUGUUGUAUUCGUUUUCAGAGUGGAAGACUCCACUCAUGUCACUACCCACACCCACCUCCAUCCAUUUACCCCCCAACUUCAUUCCCCCGACUCGCCCACCCACCCAAGCAUCCACAGACCCGCUCGCUCAUCUCCAACUUCUCCCACCCCCUCAAUUCCACCUCCUGACCAGCCCUUCCACUCGCCUCCACCUACAACUUCUCCCACCUACUAACCCGCCCUUCCACCCACCUCCAUCACCGCCGUCCACUCAAAGAGGAAACGGGUCAAACAAGGAGUAAGGAGAAUGACCAAGAUUCGAGUCUGGCGGCGUCCCCUCCAUCACCAGCCUCCCUCCUGUGCUGGCGUGGACGAAGAUGAUCCCUGCGCGGUGGUGGGAGAGCAGGGAUGAUGUGCAGCCUUGGUGGUAAUAGAUGGGAAGGUGUGGUGGGAGAUCUGUCAAGUCCACACAGCCAGGCAGCUGUUGAGAAGAAUGUUCGUCAAUAUUGUGUGUAGCUUGACUCUGCUUACGAUGCAUAUGUAUGUAGUCUGCAAGGUUCGAAAAUACAAUACCUACACGUGA
Long non-coding RNA from Eriocheir sinensis (Chinese mitten crab), 826 nucleotides. RefSeq lists it as uncharacterized. The transcript has 2 exons. NCBI's taxonomy places the organism in Eukaryota, Metazoa, Arthropoda, Malacostraca, Decapoda, Varunidae. The record is from RefSeq and is a predicted model, not a curated record.